GAUGAACGCUAGCUACAGGCUUAACACAUGCAAGUCGAGGGGCAGCAUUUUAGUUUGCUUGCAAACUGAAGAUGGCGACCGGCGCACGGGUGAGUAACACGUAUCCAACCUGCCGAUAACUCUGGAAUAGCCUUUCGAAAGAAAGAUUAAUACCGGAUGGCAUACGAAUAUCGCAUGAUAUUUUUAUAAAGAAUUUCGGUUAUCGAUGGGGAUGCGUUCCAUUAGUUUGUUGGCGGGGUAACGGCCCACCAAGACAACGAUGGAUAGGGGGUUCUGAGAGGAAGGUCCCCCCACAUUGGAACUGAGACACGGUCCAAACUCCUACGGGAGCAGCAGUGAGGAAUAUUGGUCAAUGGGCGAGAGCCUGAACCAGCCAAGUAGCGUGAGGGAUGAAGGUUCUAU
Molecule: ribosomal RNA, 402 nt
Filed under: uncultured bacterium
Lineage: Bacteria
Description: bacterial SSU rRNA
Rfam family: Bacterial small subunit ribosomal RNA
Source: RNAcentral